Molecule: ribosomal RNA, 253 nt
Filed under: uncultured bacterium
Lineage: Bacteria
Description: partial 16S ribosomal RNA
Rfam family: Bacterial small subunit ribosomal RNA
Source: RNAcentral
UACGUAGGGGGCAAGCGUUGUCCGGAAUCAUUGGGCGUAAAGCGCGUGUAGGCGGCCCGGUAAGUCCGCUGUGAAAGUCGGGGGCUCAACCCUCGAAUGCCGGUGGAUACUGUCGGGCUAGAGUGCGGAAGAGGCGAGUGGAAUUCCCGGUGUAGCGGUGAAAUGCGCAGAUAUCGGGAGGAACACCAAUGGCGAAGGCAGCUCGCUGGGACGUGACUGACGCUGAGGCGCGAAAGCGUGGGGAGCAAACAGG